GUCUACAGCCAUACCACCCUGAAUGUGCCCGAUGUAGUCUGAUCUUGGAAGCUAAGCAGGGUCGGGCCUGUUUAGUACUUGGAUGGGAGAAUUUUGGAGAUGGCUAUUGAGGAAGCAGCAUGUUUUGUAGCAC
Molecule: ribosomal RNA, 133 nt
Organism: Cricetulus griseus (Chinese hamster)
Lineage: Eukaryota; Metazoa; Chordata; Mammalia; Rodentia; Cricetidae
Source: Ensembl